RNAcentral lists this transfer RNA (74 nucleotides) under Anaerocolumna cellulosilytica. RNAcentral's name for it is "tRNA-Thr". It matches the Rfam family "tRNA". Rfam says of the family: Transfer RNA (tRNA) molecules are approximately 80 nucleotides in length. Lineage: Bacteria; Bacillati; Bacillota; Clostridia; Lachnospirales; Lachnospiraceae. The record is from RNAcentral.
GCCCCCGUAGCUCAGUCGGUAGAGCGUUACCUUGGUAAGGUAAAGGUCUCGGGUUCAAGUCCCGUCGGGAGCUC